CAGCGUGGCAGUCGUGUUGUUGCCUACCCUUACCACCUGGGGGCGACCCGUUAGGAAGUCCAGGUCACAUUUAGAUGUUGCAGUUCAAUGAAAGCGUUGUCAUCUUUAUAGUCGUACAAACUCUUGUUUCUGACAGCUGUCUGACACGGAACCGUAAACAAAACUCACAAACUACACCUGAACACUACAAAAUAAAGCAAAACAUACUCAAUUCAACAUAUUUAAUCCCCCACAUCCAUAUCCCCCUCAAACAGUGCAAGAUUUAGAUUAAUACCCCAAAUAGGACUUUUUUUUAGGCCCAUUCAGGAGAAAGGGCCACACUUCAACGAGGCUGUGUAGUUCCAGUCAGAGACAUAUAUUUAUACAUAUAUUUAUAUGUGACUCUGGCUCCAGUCAUUUAGGCCUUGGUUGUCGUGGAUACAACAACAAACCAUUUUGUAAAAUCCACUGCCAGACAGCCACCACAUUCUCCUGGUCAAAAAAAGAUGCAGAACUGGACGGACAAAUUUGUACACAAGGCAGCUAUACUCUUCUAAGUCCCUAGACAGGUGUUUGUACGAUGUUUUAGUUUUUGCAGUGUGAGAUGUAGUCAUUGUAGAAGAAGCAGAGAUGCCUAUAUCUUCUGGAGCUGCAGGCAGAGUAUAUGUGGGGAUAGAUAUAUCCAUAGCAUGGGCACCAGAUGGCGUGAAGAAAGAGGCAAAACCUGUCAAGAACUGUGAUUCCUAUCUGAGAAGAAUGCCAAUCAACACCUUGCUGGUCCAGAUGGAGAGAACAUGGACACGUCGUCACCAGGUGUGAGUAGGGAUCCUAACACACAACAGAGGAACGGAGGCAGUGAUGGUGACAGCAACAUCACAGGAAAAGAACCCAAGGAAGAGAGCUUGAAACAAUCUAAAACAUGUACCCUUCUUUAGAGUCAUAAACCUAUGAAUGGACUUCACAUACUUGGUGCAUUGAUGCUGAACACCAUCAUGUUUUACUUAAAGUGCCAUAUAAUCACAUUGUAGUCUUUAUGAUCACCAAGUUCUCUUCCUUGCCUGUUAUUGUGAUGAAUCAUAAAAACUGCAUGGGAAUAGGGAGAAUAUCUUUCAUUUGGGAAUGACUGUGUCACUGCAAUCAAUGCCUAUCACUUUGUCUAUUGAACAA
Molecule: long non-coding RNA, 1146 nt
Organism: Salvelinus sp. IW2-2015
Lineage: Eukaryota; Metazoa; Chordata; Actinopteri; Salmoniformes; Salmonidae
Source: RefSeq, a predicted model, not a curated record